GCUUACGACCACGACCCACCGGCCUGAGUACGCCUGAUCUCGUCUGAUCUCGGAAGCUAAGCAGGGUCGGGCCUGGUUAGUACUUGGAUGGGAGACUUCCUGGGAAUACCAGGUGCUGUAAGCU
Ribosomal RNA from Oncorhynchus tshawytscha (Chinook salmon), 124 nucleotides. The record is from Ensembl. NCBI's taxonomy places the organism in Eukaryota, Metazoa, Chordata, Actinopteri, Salmoniformes, Salmonidae.